This 402-nucleotide ribosomal RNA is filed under the name uncultured bacterium. RNAcentral describes it as "bacterial SSU rRNA". It matches the Rfam family "Bacterial small subunit ribosomal RNA", at positions 32 to 424 of the family's 1533-position model. The record is from RNAcentral.
AAUCAACGCUGGCGGCGUGCCUCAGACAUGCAAGUCGGACGAUUAAAGCUCUCUUCGGAGAGUGUAUAGAGUGGCGCACGGGUGAGUAACACGUAAGUAAUCUACCUUCGAGUGGGGAAUAACCCGGGGAAACCCGAGCUAAUACCGCAUAAUGCAGCGGCACCUAAUGGUGACAGUUGUUAAAGGAGUAAUUCGCUUGAAGAGGAGCUUGCGGCAGAUUAGCUAGUUGGUAAGGUAAUGGCUUACCAAGGCUACGAUCUGUAACCGGUCUAAGAGGACGGUCGGUCACACUGACACUGAAUAACGGGUCAGACUCCUACGGGAGGCAGCAGUCGGGAAUUUUGGGCAAUGGGCGAAAGCCUGACCCAGCAACGCCGCGUGAAGGAUGAAGUAUUUCGGUAU